GAUGAAGAACGUAGCGAAAUGCGAUAAGUAAUGUGAUUUGCAGAAUUCAGUGAAUCAUCGAAUCUUUGAACGCACAUUGCGCCCCUUGGUAUUCCGAGGGGCAUGCCUGUUCGAGCGUCAUUUCAACCCUCAAGCACAGCUUGGUCUUGGGCUUCGCCGCUAACCCGGCGGGUCUUAAAAUCAGUGGCGGUGCCGUCGGGCCCUGAGCGCAGUAAUCUCUCUCGCUAUAGGGUCCCGGCGGAUGCUGGCCAGUAACCCCCAAUUUUCUAUGGUUGACCUCGGAUCAGGUAGGGAUACCCGCUGAACUUAAGCAUAUCAAUAAGCGGAGGA
This 330-nucleotide unclassified non-coding RNA is filed under the name soil metagenome. Its description in RNAcentral is "partial contains 5.8S ribosomal RNA, internal transcribed spacer 2, and large subunit ribosomal RNA". The stretch from base 1 to 120 matches the Rfam family "5.8S ribosomal RNA", at positions 35 to 154 of the family's 154-position model. The record is from RNAcentral.